UGGGGAAUAUUGGGCAAUGGGCGAAAGCCUGACCCAGCAACGCCGCGUGAAGUAUGAAGGCCUUCGGGUUGUAAACUUCUUUGAUCAGGGAUGAAACAAAUGACGGUACCUGAAAAACAAGCCACGGCUAACUACGUGCCAGCAGCCGCGGUAAUACGUAGGUGGCGAGCGUUAUCCGGAUUUACUGGGUGUAAAGGGCGUGCAGGCGGGCUGAUAAGUCAGAUGUGAAAUCCCCGAGCUUAACUCGGGAACUGCAUCUGAUACUGUUGGUCUUGAGUGCUGGAGAGGAUAGUGGAAUUCCUAGUGUAGCGGUAAAAUGCGCAGAUAUUAGGAGGAACACCAGUGGCGAAGGCGGCUAUCUGGACAGUAACUGACGCUGAGGCGCGAAAGCGUGGGUAGCAAACAGG
RNAcentral lists this ribosomal RNA (407 nucleotides) under Verrucomicrobiota bacterium. RNAcentral's name for it is "Verrucomicrobia bacterium partial 16S ribosomal RNA". It matches the Rfam family "Bacterial small subunit ribosomal RNA", at positions 355 to 776 of the family's 1533-position model. The record is from RNAcentral. Lineage: Bacteria; Pseudomonadati; Verrucomicrobiota.